CAUGCAAGUCGAGGGGCAGCGCAGUGUAGCAAUACAUGGGCGGCGACCGGCAAACGGGUGCGGAACACGUACGCAACCUUCCUUUAAGUGAGGGAUAGCUUUCGGAAACGAAAAUUAAUACCUCGUAACAUUAUGAAACGGCAUCGUUUUAUAAUUAUAGCUCCGGCGCUUAAAGAUGGGCGUGCGCCUGAUUAGGUAGUUGGCGGAGUAACAGCCCACCAAGCCUACGAUCAGUAACUGGUGUGAGAGCACGACCAGUCACACGGGCACUGAGACACGGGCCCGACUCCUACGGGAGGCAGCAGUAAGGAAUAUUGGUCAAUGGACGCAAGUCUGAACCAGCCAUGCCGCGUGGAGGAUGAAGGUCCUCUGGAUUGUAAACUUCUUUUAUCGGAG
RNAcentral lists this ribosomal RNA (396 nucleotides) under uncultured Niastella sp. RNAcentral describes it as "bacterial SSU rRNA". It matches the Rfam family "Bacterial small subunit ribosomal RNA", at positions 54 to 444 of the family's 1533-position model. The record is from RNAcentral. Lineage: Bacteria; Pseudomonadati; Bacteroidota; Chitinophagia; Chitinophagales; Chitinophagaceae.